GACGAACGCUGGCGGCGUGCUUAACACAUGCAAGUCGAACGGUGAAGCGCCUUCCUUUUUGGUUGGUGUGGAUGAGUGGCGAACGGGUGAGUAAAACGUGAGUAACCUGCCCCCUUCUUCUGGAUAACCGCAUGAAAGUGUGGCUAAUACGGGAUAUUCUGGGUCUGUCGCAUGAUGGGUCUGGGAAAGAUAUUGUUUCGGUGGGGGAUGGGCUCGCGGCCUAUCAGCUUGUUGGUGGGGUGAUAGCCUACCAAGGCGGUGACGGGUAGCCGGCCUGAGAGGUUGGGCGGCCACAGUGGGGAUGAGAGACGGACCAGACUCCUACGGGAGGCAGCAGUGGGGAAUAGUGCACAAUGGGCGGAAGCAUGAUGCAGCGACGCGGCGUGAGGGAUGGAGUCCUGGGGGUUGUGAACCUCUUUCGCCAGUGAAGCAGGCCUGGCUCGUUUGUGGGUGGUUUGACGGUAGCUGGAUAAGAAGCGCCGGCUAACUACGUG
RNAcentral lists this ribosomal RNA (494 nucleotides) under uncultured bacterium. RNAcentral's name for it is "partial 16S ribosomal RNA". It matches the Rfam family "Bacterial small subunit ribosomal RNA", at positions 28 to 507 of the family's 1533-position model. The record is from RNAcentral.